This 261-nucleotide small RNA is filed under the name Bacillus altitudinis. RNAcentral describes it as "BsrG". It matches the Rfam family "BsrG". Rfam says of the family: bsrE, bsrG and bsrH pair through intermolecular interactions with antisense sRNAs. SR4 interaction with the 3'UTR of bsrG RNA promotes bsrG degradation and inhibits its translation. The record is from RNAcentral. RNAcentral also lists the same sequence under 1 other name. Lineage: Bacteria; Bacillati; Bacillota; Bacilli; Caryophanales; Bacillaceae.
UACAAUUGAACGGCUUGCUCAAGGGCGUCUGGCUCAUCCCCGAUAGGAAGGGGGUGAUGCUCAUGUCAACAUUCCAAGCACUGAUGUUAAUGCUUGCUUUCGGGUCAUUUAUCAUUGCCCUGUUGACAUAUAUAGACAAAAAAUAGACUCCCCCUUGAGCUUUGGUAGGUGAAAGGGAAAGUCUAUCCUGAACAUCCUAUUCGAUUGGCCAGCCCCUUGAAGGGCCUCAUUGUACAUUGCCGGGAUGUUAGCGCAUCCUAG